Molecule: ribosomal RNA, 513 nt
Filed under: uncultured bacterium
Lineage: Bacteria
Description: bacterial SSU rRNA
Rfam family: Bacterial small subunit ribosomal RNA
Source: RNAcentral
AGAGUUUGAUCCUGGCUCAGGAUGAACGCUGGCGGCGUGCCUAACGCAUGCAAGUCGAGCGAGGACCGCCCGGUGGCAACACCGGGUUGGUGCCUAGCGGCGAACGGGUGAGUAACACGUGGGUAACCUGCCCCCGACACCGGGAUAAGCCUGGGAAACUGGGUCUAAUACCGGAUAUGAGCCUCCUCCGCAUGGUGGGGGCUGGAAAGGGUCUCCGGUCGGGGAUGGGCCCGCGUCCUAUCAGCUUGUUGGUGGGGUAACGGCCUACCAAGGCGACGACGGGUAGCCGGCCUGAGAGGGUGUACGGCCACACUGGGACUGAGACACGGCCCAGACUCCUACGGGAGGCAGCAGCGGGGAAUAUUGCGCAAUGGGCGAAAGCCUGACGCAGCGACGCCGCGUGCGGGAUGACGGCCUUCGGGUUGUAAACCGCUUUCAGCAGGGACGAAGCGCAAGUGACGGUACCUGCAGAAGAAGGUCCGGCCAACUACGUGCCAGCAGCGGCGGUAAUUC